Molecule: long non-coding RNA, 691 nt
Organism: Artibeus jamaicensis (Jamaican fruit-eating bat)
Lineage: Eukaryota; Metazoa; Chordata; Mammalia; Chiroptera; Phyllostomidae
Exons: 4
Source: RefSeq, a predicted model, not a curated record
GUCUGAGAGCCACGUAAAGCAGAGCCCAGUGCUUACGCCCCUGGGGCCAACCCCUAAAAUCUCUGUGCCCCGUGCAGAGAACUCUGAGGCUUCUGGGAAGAAAAUUUUCUCCUAAAGAGGUCAUUUGUGGCCUUAUUAAAACCUCUUGGAAGGAGUGCAUGUUGGGAAAAAUAAGAAAUCACUGGAUCCAGUGAGCUAAAUGAGCGGCACUCAGAUGUGUCUACGACCAGCUUUCCCACUGUGGACACUGAGGGCUUGCUGGUGACGAGAGCGACAGUGCAGAGGACGAUGGUGAUGACGGUGGUGAGGCCGAGUGGCUGGCUGGCAGAAUGACUGACGCACACACGCGGGGGAUGGAAGCAGAGUCAAUCAGAAUUCAGCAUCUGAGCUUUGCCACAGUAAUUGCCCGGGAAGGAACUCGGCCAAACUAAUACAGAGUGUGCUCAACUAAUAUUUGGACAGUAACCUUUCCAUGGACAUGAAGGUGUGAAGAAGGCCAUUCUGGGGUCCGCUUGCCUUCAGAUGCCGUAGAGGAAUCCACACUGAGUUAGGAGUCAGAGGACCUGGAUUCCAGAAUUCUUCUCUGCGCUUGUUUUAUCUCCUGGAGGCUUGGUUUUCUCAUGCAAAUGAGGGUUCCUUGGUGCCUUUAAUGGCCUUAAACCCCACAUGAGCCCAGUCAUGGGAGUGACAG